Molecule: ribosomal RNA, 1182 nt
Filed under: Triticum aestivum (bread wheat)
Lineage: Eukaryota; Viridiplantae; Streptophyta; Magnoliopsida; Poales; Poaceae
Description: partial small subunit ribosomal RNA
Source: RNAcentral
AUGCAAAUUCACAUGAGUCUCGACAUCACAGCUGCUAAGAAGAACAAGAGCAAAAUUGCUCUCCACAACCUCAUCAUGGCAGUAGACUACAAGACCGCAUAUUGGAUCAUGAGCAAUGACAAUGACAAGAUUGAAAAGAAGGAGCCUAUGAUGAGCGCAACCAUCAAGAAGAGGAAGAGCAUACCCACAUUGAGGAAAAGAAGUUUGUUCAGUAACAAGCGAAUCAAGCGCAUGCAGCUCUUCGUUCCCAACAACAUCUAUAUGAAGAACAUGAAUGCCAAGAACAUGAUGAAAUACAAGAAGCACAUGAGGCAAGACAAGAAGAAGAGCAAGGAGGAGGGAGAGGUUGUGGAAGAGGGAUCCAACAGCAGCACGAUGGCGUGGUGGUGGUGGAGUUGCAGUACUCCGGCAGGGCUUCGCCAAGCUCUUGCGGAGGAGGAGAGGGAGCUUCAAGAAGCUGUCGACGUUCUUGCUGGCGCGGACCUGCAGACCAUGGCGAACGCCGCGGGCUUGGUGAGCAGCGCCGCCGCCAGGGCGGCUUUGGAGGCAUAUUUGCAAGGGGUGGAUCUUGUAGUGACUUGUAGGAAUCUGGAGGUGGCAGCACGCGAGCUGAGCUUGGCGGUGGCGGCGGCGGCGGCCGACUCACAGGGCAGAGAUGAGAGCAGAUGCAAAUGGAUCCUGUGGCUGAAGAAGGACAGGAGGAAUGCAGAUGUGGUCGACGACGGCCGCCUAGGGCAAGCGCUUCUUCACCAUAAGGCCUGGCCGGUGUCGAACUCGCUCUCCACUGCGUCAAGACCGGAGGAGAACCUGGCAGAGUUCCUGAGCUACGCGCUGUUUGGAUCCUUGACCUUACUGCCCUACUUGGACCCCGCGGGACCGGUGAUGAAGACGCUGUCCAAGACCGGCAAGCUGAUCUUCCAUGUCGCCUUCUCUGUGGUUUGGGCCGCGGUUGGUGUAGCUGUCGCUUGCAGGCAGUGCCGCGGUUCUGCGCUCAUGCUCCGUUUUGCUGAUGUUGCCAGCCACAUUGGCAUGGCUGGCAUUACUGCCCUUGUGAUUUGGUACAGCCACGUCCUGAUAGCACCGGAUGCUCCUGUGACUUCCUACGUCAUCUUGGGCUUCGCUUGCAUUCUGCAGAUCAUUGCUUGGGCCUGGGAUCGCAAAUGGAUCGGAGGCGCAGCGUAG